UUGUGAGGAAGCCUAGGCCACAUGGAGAGGCCACAUAGAUGUGUUCCAGGCAGCAGCCCCAGCAAAGGUCUCAAUCAACCACCAUAUGUGUGAGUGAUGGAACCUUCAGAUAAUUUUGCUUCCCAGACUUCAAGUCUUCCAGCUGGGGUCCAAGACAUAACAAGGCAGAGACAAGCCCUCCUGGAAUUCCCUACCCACAGAAACUUGAAAGCAGUGUAAAUGGCUCUUAUCUGAACCACAAUGAAUUCACAUAUUCAAGUUGGCUUCUUCGGAAAUUUCAGGCCACAAAUGGCAGUGAUGCGACCAGGAGCAGUAACACGUGCCACUUCCAUCUGGACAGAAGGAAUCCAGGUCAAGGCUGACGGGAGGAGCAGGAGCCAUUAAUGAGAGCAGACCUCAGAAGCCAACAGAGGUGAGAGGAGCACCAUCCACAGCCCCAUCCUCUGAAUGCUGUGGGAAGAAGUCCACAAAAUACCACCCCUUGGAGUGAGUCAGUAGCAGAGCCCUUGCUGCUGUCUGCAAAUACCCCAUCAAAACAUGUUUGGGGUGAUUCUUGGACCUGGUUUCAAUUUCUUUUCUGCCAGUCAGCAGUUGUGCUUGACUCACAAUUUGUUGCCAUCUCUUGAAUUAAACUCAGGAAAUAGGAUAAAGAUCAGAACCACAUUG
RNAcentral lists this non-coding RNA (666 nucleotides) under Pongo abelii (Sumatran orangutan). The record is from RNAcentral. Lineage: Eukaryota; Metazoa; Chordata; Mammalia; Primates; Hominidae.